RNAcentral lists this long non-coding RNA (712 nucleotides) under Homo sapiens (human). RNAcentral describes it as "non-protein coding lnc-TDRD3-12:1". Lineage: Eukaryota; Metazoa; Chordata; Mammalia; Primates; Hominidae. The record is from RNAcentral.
AGGUCCCUGCAAGAGGCCCCUGGACACUUGUUGGUCUGCCAGAAAUCCAAAUUCUGCCACUAGUCACACCACCUGCAUCUCAUGGAGAAACAUUGCCACGAUUACAUGGUUGCACUAAAAUGCAAUGCAAAUAUUAAUGAAGAUAAUAUUACUGCCCAGGUAUGAAACAGAAAAAUAAUUUUAUCACUGGAUAAAGACAUGAAAAAACUAGACUUCAAGGACAUCCACCUGAGUAUUCUGGCAGAAAAUCAUGAAAUUUAGUGUUUUCAUUGAUUUGAUAGGCUUAUCCUUUAACCCAGAUUCUAAGACAUAUGAAAGGACGUCUUGGCUCUCCAAGGAAAAGAAGCCAUUGAAAUUUGGUUUUCUUUUGGCUUGGCAUUAUACAAAAACAAUGGGCCUAAUAAUUUCAUAUCAACUCAGUGCUACCCUCAGCCAAGGACGGUGGUGGCAAAGAAUCCUUGUAUACAAUCACUGGUUGCAUAUUUCCAGAGAGGAUCUGUCUCCUAAUGGAACAGCUAGCUCACUACUCUGAUUAAACAAAGUUAGUUCCUCAGAUUACAUUGUCAGUUCAAGACUUUGCAGACAGCCCUGUUUCAUAAAGAGAAAAUGAAUAUUAUUUUUAAAAAAGAGAAACAUUUUUACAACUUUGUAAUUUUUAAUAAUCAGGACUAUUGGCUUCAGAAGGCUAUUGGGGCAAAUAAUGACUGUCCAC